This 1512-nucleotide ribosomal RNA is filed under the name uncultured prokaryote. Its description in RNAcentral is "partial 16S ribosomal RNA". It matches the Rfam family "Bacterial small subunit ribosomal RNA". The record is from RNAcentral.
AGAGUUUGAUCCUGGCUCAGAUUGAACGCUGGCGGUAGGCUUAACACAUGCAAGUCGAGCGGUAACAGAGAAUAGCUUGCUAUUCUGCUGACGAGCGGCGGACGGGUGAGUAACGCGUAGGAAACUGCCUGGUAGUGGGGGAUAGCCCAGAGAAAUUUGGAUUAAUACCGCAUACGCCCUACGGGGGAAAAGGGGCUUCGGCUCUUGCUAUCAGAUGUAGAUAAGCCCGCGUCAGAUUAGCUUGUUGGUGAGGUAAUGGCUCACCAAGGCGACGAUCUUUAGCUGGUCUGAGAGGAUGAUCAGCCACACUGGAACUGAGACACGGUCCAGACUCCUACGGGAGGCAGCAGUGGGGAAUAUUGCACAAUGGACGAAAGUCUGAUGCAGCCAUACCGCGUGUGUGAAGAAGGCUUUCGGGUUGUAAAGCACUUUCAGUAGGGAGGAAGGAGUUGUAGUUAAUACCUGCAACUAUUGACGUUACCUACAGAAGAAGCACCGGGCUAACUCCGUGCCAGUAGCCGCGGUAAUACGGAGGGUCCGAGCGUUAAUCGGAAUUACUGGGCGUAAAGCGCGCGUAGGCGGUUAGAUCAGUCAGAUGUGAAAGCCCUGGGCUCAACCUGGGAACUGCAUCUGAUACUGUUUAACUAGAGUAUGGUAGAGGAGAGUGGAAUUUCCUGUGUAGCGGUGAAAUGCGUAGAUAUAGGAAGGAACACCAGUGGCGAAGGCGACUUACUGGACCAAUACUGACACUGAGGUGCGAAAGCGUGGGGAGCAAACGGGAUUAGAUACCCCGGUAGUCCACGCCGUAAACGAUGUCUACUAGCCGUUGGGAGACUUGAUCUCUUAGUGGCGCAGCUAACGCAAUAAGUAGACCGCCUGGGGAGUACGGCCGCAAGGUUAAAACUCAAAUGAAUUGACGGGGGCCCGCACAAGCGGUGGAGCAGUGGGUUUAAUUCGAUGCAACGCGAAGAGGCGAGAACCUUACCUGGUCUUGACAUCCUACGAACUUACUAGAGAUAGUUUGGUGCCUUCGGGAACGUAGUGACAGGUGCUGCAUGGCUGUCGUCAGCUCGUGUUGUGAAAUGUUGGGUUAAGUCCCGUAACGAGCGCAACCCUUGUCCUUAUUUGCCAGCACGUAAUGGUGGGAACUCUAAGGAGACUGCCGGUGACAAACCGGAGGAAGGUGGGGACGACGUCAAGUCAUCAUGGCCCUUACGAGCGGGGCUACACACGUGCUACAAUGGCCAGGACAAACGGUUGCAACCCCGCGAGGGUGAGCUAAUCCGAGAAACCUGGUCGUAGUCCGGAUCGCAGUCUGCAACUCGACUGCGUGAAGUCGGAAUCGCUAGUAAUCGUGAAUCAGAACGUCACGGUGAAUACGUUCCCGGGCCUUGUACACACCGCCCGUCACACCAUGGGAGUGGGUUGCAAAAGAAGUGGGUAGCAUAACCUUCGGGAGUGCGCUCACCACUUUGUGAUUCAUGACUGGGGUGAAGUCGUAACAAGGUAACC